RNAcentral lists this ribosomal RNA (454 nucleotides) under uncultured Sphingobacteriales bacterium. RNAcentral's name for it is "bacterial SSU rRNA". It matches the Rfam family "Bacterial small subunit ribosomal RNA", at positions 925 to 1382 of the family's 1533-position model. Lineage: Bacteria; Pseudomonadati; Bacteroidota; Sphingobacteriia; Sphingobacteriales. The record is from RNAcentral.
ACAAGCGGAGGAGCAUGUGGUUUAAUUCGAUGAUACGCGAGGAACCUUACCUGGGCUCGAACGUAAGAUGACUGUAGGUGAAAGCUUACAUCUCUUCGGAGCAUUUUACGAGGUGCUGCAUGGUUGUCGUCAGCUCGUGCCGUGAGGUGUCGGGUAAGUCCCAUAACGAGCGCAACCCUACCUUUAGUUGCCAUCAGGUAAUGCUGGGGACUCUAAAGGAACUGCCUACGCAAGUAGUGAGGAAGGCGGGGAUGACGUCAAAUCAGCACGGCCCUUACGUCCAGGGCUACACACGUGCUACAAUGGCCGAUACAGAGGGCAGCUACCUGGUGACAGGAUGCAAAUCUCCAAAGUCGGUCUCAGUUCGGAUCGGAGUCUGCAACUCGACUCCAUGAAGUUGGAAUCGCUAGUAAUCGUGGAUCAGCAUGCCACGGUGAAUACGUUCCCGGGCCUU